ACUCUCGCUGGAUGCUGGGGAGGUGGAACGACGACGUGAACUCCUCCAUGCUAUGAGGAAGUCCAAGCAGCCAUGGGAGAGGCCCACAUGGAGGAAAGUUGUGGCCCCAGCUGAUAUCCAGCACCAAAUUGCCAUUCAUGUGAAGGAGCCAUCUGGAAAAUGGACCCCCCAUUCCCAGCCAAGCCUCCCCCGCUGACAGCAUGUGGAGCAGAGGAUUAGGAUCAAUACCUGCUGCUCGGCUUUUAUUCAAGUGAUGGAUAGCUUCAGAAGCCCUUAUCUGGGCUGGUUUGCUGUCUCCAUCUGAUACUCCAAACUGACCUUCAGCCUAAGCGUCUUCAAACAUGUCCAUAUUUUAAGGAUGCAAGAGAGAUGAUUAUGGGCCAGGAGAACUCCGAGAGUAUCCAAGUUAACAACCCGGUUAGACAGACAUGCAAUUAGUAUGUCAUCUGCUUGUAAAGUUGGCCCAGGGAGGAAGUUCUGGCCAGCGAGAUGAGAGUGGAAUUGCUGAAUGCAGUUUACAGACGAAGACCUUACAAAGAAGGGGCACCUCCUUCCGUCUCACUUCCCAUUGGCUUGUUGUGGGAGCAGGCCCUCGUGGACAUGGUGGUGAAGGCAAUACACUAUGAAAGGGGGGACAGUAAGUAGGAGGCGCCUGGGUCGCUGACUUAUCUCUGAUAUUCCUCGGAUGCCACGAUGUUGGGAUCCUCUAUUAGGGAUUGAGAUUUUUCCUCCCUAGCUUACCAGCAAUAUCCCUCUUCUCUGCUGCCCUUCCUAUUAGCUUCCUUACUACCAAUGGCAAAACAGGACCUUACAUCACAAUUUUUCAAUUUUGUCCUUAUAUUUUGCCUCUUGAGAACCUUACAACAGGGUGAAAUGCAUUAGCACCAUUUUGCAGAUGAGGAAACUAUGACAAAGUGACUUCCUCUCAGUGCUGGUAGUACCAUUCAUUGGAGAGUACGGAAAGGACCCCAAAAUCCAGAUUGCCAAGAUCCAAGGAUUUCAAGAAGUGAGGGUUCUCCUCAGAAGUGCUUUGGCUCUUCACGGUGCCAUAGGCUUUGUUUCUGUCUAACAGUGCUGUGCACCCUCCUCCCGCUUCUCAGUCAAGAUGGGACCCAGGAGCGCUCUCACUCUCGCCUUUCUUAACUGGAUCCCACAUAACAGGCUCCGUGGAGUCAGAAUGAGACCUGUGGGGGCCCUAGGUAAUCAUUUGGGAUCACUUUAAAUCAGUGUCCUUUAAAGAAUCUUCAGCAUCCAUUGAGUGGGGAAAAAAAAAAAGAAGGUGAGCCCUGAACAGGUGAAGAGCUUAAGAGGACACAAGUGACAGUCCCCCAGGAAAGCCACAGCCGGGAAUUUAGCUGGCACUCCUCAGGUGGCACUUGGCUUACCACCUAUUGCUAUUCAAGCUCACUCCUUCCAGGGGAGAUCUUUCCAAAGCUUUCCCCAACCCUAAGGUAUAGAACAGCUCAGAUUCCUUCCAACUAUGUGCACUAUUCUCCCAGAAGUGUAUCCUAAAUGCAGGGCUUCCAUCCCCUCACAUUUCUAUUAUGUUUAAAAAGUCCUCAUGAGCUGUACCUCCGGCUCCCUCUGCCUGGCUCAAGCCUGUCUCCAGCUCUCACCAUCUAUCUCCCGGGAGAGUGAGAUCUGACCCGAAAGAUGGAUUCAAUGGCAAAGAAUUGAGGGAUCCAAGCAGCAGCUACAGAAGAGCAGGUGAGAGAAGCAAGGGGACGAGCAGGGCGAAAAGCCACCAACCAGGCCAGCCUCUCUCUGCAGGCUGGGAUCUCCCUUGCAGUCACUAGAGGGUCCUCAGGUGACCUAGCACACUCAGGCUCUACAAUUGCCUCUGCCGCAUGGAGGUCCCAUGCCCCAUCCUCCAAGAUCCGAGUCCCUCUACUCAUAUCACUAGAUGAGACUGGUCUUUGCAACAAAUGAAGCAGCGACAUUUGCUGGAGUUCAAGUUUCAUUUCCUCAACCCACUGGUGCUAGAGUUUCAUUUUUCAAAAGAAGUCGACAUUGAAUAUUGAUAUGUGUUAUGAAAGCUGUAAAAUCAAGGAGGAUAACAAGGCGUUGUUAUUGACAUGGGGUGUGUCUGAGGGCACACUGGCAGUAAAAAUGAGUUUCCCACACAUUCCCACGUAGGCGGCUGCUCAGCGUCACCAACCACUGGUUAAUUCAUUAAUAUUAUUCAGUGAAAAACGCUUCUUCCAUUCCAUUUGUUAAUAAAUCUAUUUUCAUUCUUAUGGAAAUCAGCCCCUUUUCAAGUUCAUUUAAGAAGAAUAUUUCAUAACUUUCUAGUAUGGGAAGUAUUUUUAUUUAAAUACUUGCAACAACUAAAUUGAGAACGUGUACCUUUCAUUUUUAAAGAUAUUUCCUUGUGGUUCUUGAAUGCCCUGUGGUUAGAAAAGACUGAGAAGUUAUGAAACAUGAGAGAGAUAAUUAAAUAAAAUGGAAAGUGAUU
RNAcentral lists this long non-coding RNA (2455 nucleotides) under Sus scrofa (pig). RNAcentral describes it as "lncRNA (ENSSSCG00035041924.1)". Lineage: Eukaryota; Metazoa; Chordata; Mammalia; Artiodactyla; Suidae. The record is from RNAcentral.